This 866-nucleotide ribosomal RNA is filed under the name Hystrichopsylla dippiei. RNAcentral's name for it is "SSU rRNA". It matches the Rfam family "Eukaryotic small subunit ribosomal RNA", at positions 943 to 1795 of the family's 1831-position model. The record is from RNAcentral. Lineage: Eukaryota; Metazoa; Arthropoda; Insecta; Siphonaptera; Hystrichopsyllidae.
AGACGACAGAAGCGAAAGAAUGUGUUUUCAUCAAUCAAGAACGAAAGUUAGAGGCUCGAAGGCGAUCAGAUACCGCCCUAGUUCUAACCAUAAACGAUGCCAGCUAGCGAUCCGCCGAAGUUCCUCCGAUGACUCGGCGGGCAGCUUCCGGGAAACCAAAGCUUUUGGGUUCCGGGGGAAGUAUGGUUGCAAAGCUGAAACUUAAAGGAAUUGACGGAAGGGCACCACCAGGAGUGGAGCCUGCGGCUUAAUUUGACUCAACACGGGUAACCUCACCAGGCCCGGACACCGGAAGGAUUGACAGAUUGAGAGCUCUUUCUUGAUUCGGUGGGUGGUGGUGCAUGGCCGUUCUUAGUUGGUGGAGCGAUUUGUCAGGUUAAUUCCGAUAACGAACGAGACUCUAGCCUGCUAAAUAGGCGUACUUUCCGGUAUCUCGAAGGCCCGCCGGUCGGCUUCGGUCCGUGUGGGUUUCACUACCGGCGUACACAUAUAUCUUCUUAGAGGGACAGGUGGCGUUUAGUCGCACGAAAUUGAGCAAUAACAGGUCAGUGAUGCCCUUAGAUGUUCUGGGCCGCACGCGCGCUACACUGAAGGGAUCAGCAGGUUUUCCUUGGCCGAAAGGUCCGGGUAAUCCGUUGAAGCCCCUUCGUGCUAGGGAUUGGGGCUUGCAAUUCUUCCCCAUGAACGAGGAAUUCCCAGUAAGCGCGAGUCAUAAGCUUGCGUUGAUUACGUCCCUGCCCUUUGUACACACCGCCCGUCGCUACUACCGAUUGAGUGAUUUAGUGAGGUCUUCGGACCGGUGCGCGGCAUUGCCGAUGUUGCUGGGAAGAUGACCAAAUUUGAUUGCUGGAAGUAAAAGUCGUAAC